GAGUUUGAUCAUGGCUCAGAGUGAACGCUGGCGGCGUGCCUAACACAUGCAAGUCGAACGAUGAUAGGAAGCUUGCUUCCUUGAUUAGUGGCGCACGGGUGAGUAUACCAUAGAUAAUGUACCUCUUAGUUCGGGAUAGCCACUGGAAACGGUGAUUAAUACCGGAUACUCCUUCUCGUUAUAAGACGAGUCGGGAAAGUUUUUUCGCUAAGAGAUCAGUCUAUGUCCUAUCAGCUAGUUGGUGAGGUAAUGGCUCACCAAGGCUAUGACGGGUAUCUGGUUUGAGAGGAUGAUCAGACACACUGGAACUGAGACACGGUCCAGACUCCUACGGGAGGCAGCAGUGAGGAAUAUUGCACAAUGGAGGAAACUCUGAUGCAGCAACGCCGCGUGGAGGAUGACGCAUUUCGGUGUGUAAACUCCUUUUAAGAGGGAAGAUAAUGACGGUACCUCUUGAAUAAGCACCGGCUAACUCCGUGCCAGCAGCCGCGGUAAUACGGAGGGUGCAAGCGUUACUCGGAAUCACUGGGCGUAAAGGGUGCGUAGGCUGGCUUCUAAGUCAGAUGUGAAAUCCAAUGGCUUAACCAUUGAACUGCAUUUGAAACUGGGAGCCUAGAGUUCAGAAGGGGCAGAUGGAAUUAGUGGUGUAGGGGUAAAAUCCGUAGAUAUCACUAGGAAUAUCAAAAGCGAAGGCGAUCUGCUGGGAUGAUACUGACGCUGAGGCACGAAAGCGUGGGGAGCAAACAGGAUUAGAUA
This 756-nucleotide ribosomal RNA is filed under the name uncultured bacterium. Its description in RNAcentral is "bacterial SSU rRNA". It matches the Rfam family "Bacterial small subunit ribosomal RNA", at positions 9 to 784 of the family's 1533-position model. The record is from RNAcentral.